AUGGCCGAGUGGUCUAAGGCGCCAGACUCAAGUUCUGGUCCUCUUACGAGGGCUUGGGUUCAAACCCCACUUCUGACAAUUCUUUUGUCACCUUUGGCUAUCCAUUUUUGCAACAAGAUCAGCUCCUCUCGCUUUGCUCUGCGAGCCUUUUUUUUUUUGAACCGGGCUGACCCUCAUUUUUUGAACCGGGCCUUUUUUAUACAUUGUUUUCGCACUGUCAUACUAGCUAGGGAUCAACCAAUCUGA
Molecule: ribosomal RNA, 246 nt
Filed under: Triticum aestivum (bread wheat)
Lineage: Eukaryota; Viridiplantae; Streptophyta; Magnoliopsida; Poales; Poaceae
Description: partial small subunit ribosomal RNA
Rfam family: tRNA (bases 1-78)
Source: RNAcentral